CAGGAAGAAAGGCGAAGCGAAGGCGCUGGCAAACUCCAGACUCGCGGGCAGGACGCGGAGGGAAGUGGCUGCGCGGCGCCGCGUCCCCGCCCCAAGCCCGGAGCUGGGGAGUCGCGUGCCACAGCCGGUGCGCGGCGUCCCCGUGCAGUCCUGGCGACCUGUCACCGAGGACGACGUGACUCGGAGCUGCCUCCGCUUUCUCCAAGCCAUAUUCCUUUAAGAUGAUGUAAUAGUCAUUUCCCUGGAUGGUAUCUUGCCUGCACUGCUGAAACAACAGCAUCCGAACUGCACUGGGAACUGUGGAACCACCCAGCUCCGCCGCCCGCUGGAGAAGCCCGAGCCCGAGCCCCCCGCCGCCCCUGGGCGCUGCGGCGGCCGGGCUCCCAGAGGCUCCCACCUGCCUGGGAACAUGGGAGUGCGUUUGCCUUUGCCGGCAGGUGGGGUGGCUACCUGGGACCCCAGCAGGGCACAUCUGUCUUUCUUUCUGCUUCUGGGCUUUCUGAAAAGCGUCUAAGUCCCAGUACCUCUUCCAACUCUCUUCUGUUUUAAGGAUUCUUUCUAAAGGUUUGAUUCCCCACCCCCCCCUUUUUUACUGGAGAAGCUUUGGUUGGAUAUUUUUCUCUGCCCUGCUUCUUCAACCCAACCACCUCUCAUCACGCUUUAACUUUUUUGUGACUUGUUUCAACUUGAGAUUGGGAGUGAAUACAUACCUAUAUACAUACAUACAAAUAUACAUUUAUAUAAAUGUUUAUAUAUAUAUCAAAUUAUUAUUUUCUAAGAGCACAUCUCUCGGGCACUUUUCAUUGAUGCCUCUGUCCUUUACCUCUUUGGGAUUUGACAAGCUCCAGACUGUGGCUGUGGAUUCUGAUUGCUUUGCAAAUGGGUAUUUCUCCACAGGAACUGGGUCUCCAGCACUCACUAAGCCAGACCUCUGAGUAACUGGGGACUUGGCCUGCCUUGCCUGCUGAGCUUGGGGCAGAUCGGAUGGAGAUGAGUUGAUUAUAUUCUAUGAAGUAAUACUCACCACCAGCCAGGGUUUAAACUACUUUCGCAGCAUCGCUUCACCUGUGGACUCUUCUAAAUUUUGCUCUUGGGGAAAAAAACCGGGGUAAGAGAAGGUCAUUUUUAACAAGUUAGCAUCCUUCUCCCUCUUUGACAACUUGAUGCAAAGGAUAAGGCUGUGACUCCAUUGGAUUGCACCUUUGAAUCAAAAUAGGAGA
This 1220-nucleotide long non-coding RNA is filed under the name Ailuropoda melanoleuca (giant panda). RNAcentral's name for it is "lncRNA (ENSAMEG00000028311.1)". The record is from RNAcentral. Lineage: Eukaryota; Metazoa; Chordata; Mammalia; Carnivora; Ursidae.